This 234-nucleotide long non-coding RNA is filed under the name Homo sapiens (human). Its description in RNAcentral is "non-protein coding lnc-MDM4-9:1". Lineage: Eukaryota; Metazoa; Chordata; Mammalia; Primates; Hominidae. The record is from RNAcentral.
AUGAGUUUACCCCUCAAUCUCAAAUAUUUCCUCAGUGGAUUAACAGGAGAGCCAGUGAUGGUGAAGCUUAAGUGGGAAUGGAGUAUAAGGGCUACCUGGUAUCUGUAGAUGGCUAUAUGAACAUGCAGCUUGCAGAUACAGAAUUCAUAAAUGAGGCAUUGCCUGGACAUCUAGGUGAAGUUUUAAUAAGGUGUAAUAAUGUCCUUUAUAUCAGAGAUGUGGAAGAAGAGGAAA